UACGUAGGGUGCAAGCGUUAAUCGGAAUUACUGGGCGUAAAGCGUGCGCAGGCGGUUUUGCAAGACAGAUGUGAAAUCCCCGGGCUCAACCUGGGAACUGCAUUUGUGACUGCACGGCUGGAGUGCGGCAGAGGGGGAUGGAAUUCCGCGUGUAGCAGUGAAAUGCGUAGAUAUGCGGAGGAACACCGAUGGCGAAGGCAAUCCCAUGGGCCUGCACUGACGCUCAUGCACGAAAGCGUGGGGAGCAAACAGG
This 253-nucleotide ribosomal RNA is filed under the name uncultured bacterium. RNAcentral describes it as "partial 16S ribosomal RNA". It matches the Rfam family "Bacterial small subunit ribosomal RNA", at positions 524 to 776 of the family's 1533-position model. The record is from RNAcentral.